Equus caballus (horse) is the source of this 3889-nucleotide non-coding RNA. The record is from RefSeq and is a predicted model, not a curated record. NCBI's taxonomy places the organism in Eukaryota, Metazoa, Chordata, Mammalia, Perissodactyla, Equidae.
GGUGAGAAGGGUGGGCCGGGGCGGUGCUGCCGGACUCUGGGCUGGGCUGGCGAGGACCUGGCCUUCCAGGGUGAACGGGGAGCGAACAAAGAAAAAGUCGGUGAAAUGUUUUCCAGGUUUGGCCGGAACAACAAUGGUCUGGAGAACACGCCUGCAAAGCUCCGGGCCCGGAUCCGGUCUGAGACGCGGCAGAGGAGGAACCCCGGGGCUUGGGGUUCCUCCUGCCCCGGCCGCAGCUCCCGGAGCCCAGGCAGCCGGGGAGGGCGCGGGCGGUCCCUGGGGCCGCGGGCCGCCAGCUUCACCAGCCCCUGCACAGGGCAGCCCCCGAGGCGGGUGCAGGCGGACAGCGCCGAGAGGAUGUGGCCACCGGAGCCCGAGCGAUGGAGGGCCACCGGCCAGAGGAGGCGGCGGGCAGGGUGCAGGGGCGCGGCGAGGGGUCACAGCAGUGACAGGUGAUGGGCCCGAGAGGAGCAGACUGACAGAGCACAGAGCGCAGCCAUUUCAUUCGGUCUGAGCGCACACUGGGGGUAAAGGACGGGGCCGGUCUGUCCAGCCAGGAGUUCUGUCUGUCCAGCCUCCCGCCGGGGACAGUCGGGGAGAGGCCCUGGCGGAGCGAGGGGCAGAGUGUGCAGCUGCCUUUGGUGAACGAUUUCCGGAGUGUGGUCCUGAGGCUUGGGCGGGACGUGGGAGGGCUCGAGGGAGAGGAGGGCCUCAGGGACGCUCCUACCCAGGCCUCGGGGGCUGGGCGCAGGGCAGGAGGGGUGCUGAGAGCGGCCUGGCCAGGUUUCCAGCGUGGCCCCCCUGGGUCUCUGCACCACCGCCUUCAGCUUCCAACCCACCCCUCCUGCCCUGCCUGCGACUGGGUCCUCCCCUGUCCCCGGGGGAGCCAACUGGGUGUGGCUUUAUUCUUAGGUGACAGCUCUAGGCCUCAUGAGGGUUGCCAGGAAGCCCAGGACCCCCUGGGGCUCCCUCCUCCCCAGCACCCCAACGCUGAGAUUGCCCCACGAGGGGAAUUGGAGGACCAGCCACCAUUGCCGGCACUGCCACCCAGGGCCACUGCAGGGGCCACACCUGGCCGCAGGGGUGACGGGGGGCGGUGAGUAGAUCUCUGCGGGUACCCCACACCCUAGGGGGGUCCCACCUCCCACAACUGGGCCCAGUGCCCAGGCUCAGCCCCAGACUCCUGUGGUCCCUGGAGCCCUGGUGACUGUGGGCUCUGCAGGCCGCCCCCUCCUGAGGGACCCACAGGGCCCGGGUCAGGGUCAAGCAGGACUCCAGGGCCCACUGUCUAUUCCUGUGAGGCUGAGCUUUCCCUACGUGAGUUCCCAGUGUGACUCAGGGCAGGCGCAGGCCCACCCUCUGAGCCGAAGGGUGUUUCCAGGGCGGCCUGGGCUCUGGCCAAGCAGCUGCUAUAGCUCCUUCCUCGGGAUGAGGCGGAAUGAAAGCAGCAUGGGACCAGGCACCUGGAAGAGCAGCUUGGUCCCCCAAGAGUCACCCACUCCAGGUCACUUACACCUUCUGCGUGUGCAUGUGGCGUGCAGCUAACAAGACUGGUGCAACAGCGUAAGGAUGAAGCCAACACAUAGAGGCGGGCAGAACAGGCAAUCCCAGAGGGGUGGAGUCAGAGCCCUGGUCAAGCCUCUCCUGAAGCUGGACCCUAAAUUUAGUAUUCUGAUCCAUUUAUCCUUCCAACCAGUUUCAGCUGAGUUUCCGACUCACAGCCAGAAAUACCUUCACUGAUGUGGCACGUUUCCAGAUUGUUGGUGACAGCAGAAGCAGUAACAUGGCCGCAGGGCAAGGCAGUGAAUGUCCACACCUGCAUAUUGCAGCCCAAGGCUGUGCUGCUGAGUCUGCUCCUCCGCUCUGGGCUCCCGCUUCGCUGAGCCGCCGGUGGUCCACGAUUCGGCUGGCGUCUGUGGCAGGCAGCCCGCGGAUUAAAUGGCUGUGACGGGCGCCAUCAGCCCUACAGCUGAAGUCUUUUUUUAAAAAGUUUUUAUUGUGCUGGCUGCUGUUUUGCUGGCCACCUGACGGAGAGCCCCCCAGGAAAGGAACCAUCGUCUCCAGCCAGCAGCGGGCAGGGACCAGAGGCCUAGGACAGCCAUGUGGGUGAGUGUGGAAGGGGGUCCCCGGCAGCCAAGCCUUGAGAUGCCCUUAGCCCUGGCCGGCACCUUGACCCAGAUUCCUGACCCAUAGAAACUGUGCGAUAAUCAAUGUUUGCUGUUUUAAACUGCUAAGUAUGGGGGUAAUUUGUUACGCAGCAGUAGACAGCUAACGUACUCUGCUAGGACACCAUGUCCUAGACUCCCGAGGGGCGGGGCUCCCUGGGGGCCAUCCCCACCUUACUGCCUGCUCUGCCGGCACACCCACCGCACCUCUGCCAUUCGGGGUCCUUCCUCCCACAGACACGAGGGAACUGGCUCUAGCGGGAUAUCCUCCCUCCACCUGGGCCUACAGAGGACCCAGAACUUCUCCUUGAUGCCCACGGCCUCUCACAGUGCACUCCUUAUUGUCCACUGGGCCCUCCCAGGGCAACUUGCCAGCUGCAGCUUCUCUGAUCUUGCAAAAUAACCCCACCCUAGCCCUCUCGGCUCUGCGUCUUCUCGCCUCUUCCUCAAUUCUUUGCCAAGGCAGCUCCGUCUUAUUUACUGCCAGCCACUGCCAGCCCCAAGCUUCAAGGAGCCGCUCCGCAGCACACUAGGCCCGACAGCAGGCGUCCUCACCAGGGUCUGGAAAGUGCCCCGGAUCAAUAAACCCCCCCCUCCAGCCUAAUCCCCCCUCCCCUCCAGCAUCCUCCAUAUCCACUUCCACGCGUGCUCCGGGGUCCUGCUGGUACGCACCUGCCCAGCGGCAGCUCCCUGGAGAAUAAUUCGUCUCCGCCCAUGGCGGGCAUGGGACUUCCACACCCAGGUCCGGGAGCCUCGCCCUCGUUCUGGUCAGAAGCUGGAGGGGAGGCGGGCAGAUCUGAGAGGGACGCCUGCCUCAGGAGAGGCCUCUGCGUGGCCUGGGGAACGGGAGGUUGGUCCUCCAGCGAGGGCUCGUGGCCUCGUCUGCCUGCCUGGAGGGUUCCUGGGUCUCUGGCGCUUCCCGCAGAUGUCCCCUCUGGGUCGGGGGGUCCGCGCUUUGCUAUCAGGGCCCUGACUCUAGCACAGAAGAUGCACUAAGGCAUGAGCGUCUCCUCCUUUGCGGCUCCAGCACCCUGUGAUCUAAUCUCGGGCCUGAUUUUUGGCACAAUCUGCUCUCUGCUUUAGGAAAUGACACUCUAAACGCUGCUGCGGUGACUGUGUGCGUCCUGCGGCUGCCACAGCAAGGUGCCACAGACGGGGCAGCCUAAACAGCAGAUGCUUAUUCUCACAGCUCUGGAGUCUGGUGCUGACACUCGGGGGCAGCGGCGUUGGUUCCCUCCGAGGCCUCUCUUGGCUUGCAGAUGCCGUCUUCUCCCCAGGUCCUCGAAAGGUCAUCCUGCUGUGCAUGUCUGCGUCCUGAUCACCCUUCUCCUAAGGACACGGGUCAGAUUGGAUCAGGGCCCACCCUAAUGAACUCAUCUUACCUUAAUUAACUCUAAAGACGCCCUCUCCAAAUACAGUCACAUCCAGAGGUACUGGGGGUUAGGACUACAACAUACAAAUUUGCUGCGGACACAAUUCAGUUCGUAGGAGGGGGCUUUCUGGAUCUCACUGCAGACCCUGAUUGUCCUGAGCUUUCUUCAAGGCUUCAGGCCAGCUGAUGCCCGAGCCUGAAAAUUAGUCUCGCCACCGUAUCUCUCAAAUGCUGGAGACAAGGCUUGGCUGAUGUGUCCCUGCCCACCUGUGUCCCAGGCCAGUCCAUGCCAGGUGAACAGCUGUCACCACUCCAUCACCAGCAACCCAAUAAAAGCGGUGAAUGAGCCCCA